This 67-nucleotide transfer RNA is filed under the name Palomena prasina (green shield bug). RNAcentral describes it as "tRNA-Ala". It matches the Rfam family "tRNA". Rfam says of the family: Transfer RNA (tRNA) molecules are approximately 80 nucleotides in length. Their secondary structure includes four short double-helical elements and three loops (D, anti-codon, and T loops). Lineage: Eukaryota; Metazoa; Arthropoda; Insecta; Hemiptera; Pentatomidae. The record is from RNAcentral.
GGGGUAAUAGUUUAAUAUAUAACAUUUAAAUUGCAAUUAAAAGAUACUAAUUUUAUAGUUUACCUCU